UUUCAGAAUUAAUUUAUAUAUUUUCUGAAAUUAGUCUCCUAGUUAAACCUAAUACCCUAAGUAUAUAUAACCCAAACCUCACAAAAAAAAUCUCUCGUUACAUUAACUGAUAGUAAACCCCUCCUCUCAAUAAUCUCCGCCGUUGUCACAGUACCCUUCCUCUCGACGGAGACUACUUAGGAACCACGCGAGGAGACUACUAGUUUGAGUACGUGCGUGUUCAAGGUUGGUAAAGGUACUUGGCUACGAGUGAGGAGACGCUUAGAAUAACCACCUAGUCAAGAGACAAUUUCUAUUUCAGUUUAAGUUUAAGUUGGUUUUUGUUAUUCAUUUUAUGGGAAUUGGUUGUAGUUUUUAUGGGGCAC
Long non-coding RNA from Spinacia oleracea (spinach), 365 nucleotides. RefSeq lists it as uncharacterized. The record is from RefSeq and is a predicted model, not a curated record. Lineage: Eukaryota; Viridiplantae; Streptophyta; Magnoliopsida; Caryophyllales; Amaranthaceae. The transcript has 3 exons.